RNAcentral lists this ribosomal RNA (582 nucleotides) under Escherichia coli. RNAcentral describes it as "partial 23S ribosomal RNA". It matches the Rfam family "Bacterial large subunit ribosomal RNA", at positions 2349 to 2925 of the family's 2925-position model. RNAcentral also lists the same sequence under 1 other name. The record is from RNAcentral. Lineage: Bacteria; Pseudomonadati; Pseudomonadota; Gammaproteobacteria; Enterobacterales; Enterobacteriaceae.
GUGCAAUGGCAUAAGCCAGCUUGACUGCGAGCGUGACGGCGCGAGCAGGUGCGAAAGCAGGUCAUAGUGAUCCGGUGGUUCUGAAUGGAAGGGCCAUCGCUCAACGGAUAAAAGGUACUCCGGGGAUAACAGGCUGAUACCGCCCAAGAGUUCAUAUCGACGGCGGUGUUUGGCACCUCGAUGUCGGCUCAUCACAUCCUGGGGCUGAAGUAGGUCCCAAGGGUAUGGCUGUUCGCCAUUUAAAGUGGUACGCGAGCUGGGUUUAGAACGUCGUGAGACAGUUCGGUCCCUAUCUGCCGUGGGCGCUGGAGAACUGAGGGGGGCUGCUCCUAGUACGAGAGGACCGGAGUGGACGCAUCACUGGUGUUCGGGUUGUCAUGCCAAUGGCACUGCCCGGUAGCUAAAUGCGGAAGAGAUAAGUGCUGAAAGCAUCUAAGCACGAAACUUGCCCCGAGAUGAGUUCUCCCUGACUCCUUGAGAGUCCUGAAGGAACGUUGAAGACGACGACGUUGAUAGGCCGGGUGUGUAAGCGCAGCGAUGCGUUGAGCUAACCGGUACUAAUGAACCGUGAGGCUUAACCUU